Lolium perenne is the source of this 4014-nucleotide non-coding RNA. The record is from RefSeq and is a predicted model, not a curated record. NCBI's taxonomy places the organism in Eukaryota, Viridiplantae, Streptophyta, Magnoliopsida, Poales, Poaceae.
CCUAUAAAUGAUCCUAGACUACCCGGCCAACCAGGCCACCUGAGAGGGGCAAACGCUUGUUAGCCGUUCGAUCCGGGCGCACAGUAAAUUGCUCCUCCCGCUUUUCACUGCAACCGUUCGAUGUGGUAAUUUUUUGUGCACUUUUUUCUCUUUGAAACGAGGCAAUGACUUAUGGGACCAGUUGUCUGUGGUACCCACGGGUCGGAGGCAGCCACGCUCGCUCGUUUGAGUCGCCUUCUUUCUCCUACGCGCGUGCGCUAGUAAAAACCCUAGAUCGCGGGACGCCCAAUCCCCGCGUCUCCUCUCCUCCCCAAUCCCCGGUUCUCCUCUUUCCCCAAACCGCCGCCACGAUCGGCGGCGGCUGGCCGUGCGCGCCCUCGAGUUCGUCCAGCCGCGGUUGCCCGCGCGCCCUCGAUUUCAUCCAGCGGCGGGUGGCCGCGCACGCCGGCGGCGGAAGGCAGCAACCGAGCGGCGGCGGCUGCUGGCCACGCGCGCCCUCGAUUUCGUCCAGGCGUCCAGCGGCGGCGGCGGCAGAAGAGAGCAAAAGAGCGGCGGCGGCUGGAUGCGCGGUCGCGCGCGCACUCGAUUUGGUCCUCGGCACCCCUCGCGUGGACGAUGGUGGCCGGCCGGCGUCCAGGCCGUGUGCUUCAGCGGCGGCGGCCAUGGAGGAAUCUGGCCGCACGGCGUUGACCAAGGCUAGGGCUGAGCCGGGAGGUGCUCGAGGAGGUUGACCUCUGCCGGCUCGCCCCGACGUCCAUGGCGACCGGCAUGGAUGGGCGACCACACUGGCAGAGGCGCUUGCUCAGCGGGAGGGCGGCCACGAAUACCCAUGGCAGCAUACUCUGCGCAACCAGAAGGAGUUGCCGACGAGGACCAACAUGCCUCUCGGUUCUUGAUGGAUUCUGAGGAGGAUAAAAGCAUUCUGGAACAGUAGAGUUAUGGUGUUAUCUAAACCAUUUUCAAGGGGAGGAAGAUGGAUUCAGAGGCGGAUCACUGGGCUAUGAGGGAUGUGGAGUAGAGUACUUGAUGGAUUUCUUGCAAUGUUGCUUGAAUGAUUCAUGGAAGUUAGAAGCUGGGGUGGUCUUGGCGACGCUCGUUAGCUCGUCCUCGUUCUCUUGGAGGACGGCGUCCUUGUGCGGGUCUCUGCGCUCACGGGAACGCCUCCACGCCCCACUACACGGCCUCCGGCGUCGUCCCGUAGCUUGACCCUCGCUGCCGGCCUGCCGCACGCUUCUCCCAGGCACCACGGUGUUGGGGACGGAGCACGUGACGUCAAGAGGUUUGCUGCAGCACUGCUCGGUCUCGAGGUAGUCUGGGUGAGGCGGGUUCAGCACUUCAGCUCUGAUCCAUGACCUCCUUCAUGCUCCAGAUCAAGCCCUCCAUCAAGUAGAUGCUGCCCCUCUGAAUAAGAUUGGAUUUUGAUGAACCCAAGCAGUACUCCUCUCUGCGUUUCUCUCAUUUGUCAGGAGACCCAAAAUGGUUGUACCUUGCAUCUUGGUAUCGUGCAUCUGCUGUCAGGAUUCUACGAUUCUACCUAUGUUCUACCGGUGCAAUAUUUGGGAUACAGUAUACCUUUUUAAUCUGCGUAUGUCGGUGAGCUGCAAGUGAAUGGCCUGAUUAGUGAUGCACUGGCUCCUUAAAAGUGCAGAAAUGACAUAUAUUGAAAAUUAAUUAAGGAUCAUCUACAUGAUUAUACAUCUAUGAUUGAUUGAGUGUUGUUUUUGUGCAAGUUGAAUUUGCUCUUACACAUCCAUGGCUCCAUGGCUCCAUGCCCGUGUCUUUUAGUAUUAAAAACUUGUUUCCCUUUGUCUCUGGCCGAAUGUAUAAUUUUUACAGAACUAACUUAUAUUAGCAUUUGAGGAAUACUCGUUUAUAUUGGCUACCUACCUUUAUUUCAAAUAAACUUCUUUCAGAUGGAUUGAUGGUGAACAAUCUGAAUCCCUAACCAUUUACAUGCCUAAUUUUUUUCCAGCUGGACUAUUUCCAUACUAGCAAAAAGUUGGGGAAUUUGCUCCUCCGUCCGUUGAAUAAUGAGCGAGCCAAAAUCAUGUCUAUCUGUUCCCAGGCAGCUAGACCAUAUCUCUGUAAAAAAAAAUAGCUAGGUUGUAUAUUGUUUGAGCAUGCACCAAGGCAACCUUGUUUUCUAAUUGAUACCAGAAUAUGUCAAUGCUUGAAGCCAUUGGCUAAAUCAAAGAGGUUAUAGCCCUUUUUCUCUUCUUCACGGGAAAUCAGAUGAGGAGAGUGGCAGCAGUCAGAGGUUGGAGCCCUCUCCAAUGCGUCGAUUUCUAUCCUGAUCAUUUAUACAUACAGCCUGGUUUUUGCUGCUGUGGGUGGGCUUGGACCGGUUUGGUUUUCUGCUAAGGCCCUUUAUACAAAUGAACAUAGUUCAUUCAUCAGCUAUGAGGUCCACAGAGAAGAAGAGUAUGUAGCGAGGUUAUUCGUCAAAAGUAUUUUCAAACCAUGGCACAUCUAAUUAGAAUGGAGGAGGAGGGGUGUGAUUGGACCAGGAGAAUCCAUGUGAGGCCGAUCUGGUUCUUUUCGCAUGGGAUUGGAGGCGCUUGAUGGCGGGGUCACGGUGCGGCUGGGGUGUGGACGGCUAGCUUCGAGGAUGGGGUGGGUAGCAAGAGAAAAAUGGGAAAAUGAGAGAUUUUGUGUGCUUUCGUUUGAACCGGGAAUUAUUUUUGGGGUACAUAUUCUGAAAUGAUUGAUGCAAGCCCAUGAUCUUCUCCGAUGAUUUAUGUUUUCCAAGCUUGUUUCCCAGGCAUGAACAAUUAAUAUUAAGGGGUGGCCACAGCAUGGCGGAGCAAUCAGAAACUUCAGAUUUGAUGUGAAGUUGAAGCAUGGGGCGAAAGUAACUUGUGCCCCUUCCCCAUACUGCCUGCAUAUGCAGCUCACGCCCAUGGCCUCACCGUCUAGGGCCUAGAUUUGGAGGAGGAAGAGAAUACCCCAGUGAACAUCGAGUAUGCUGGCAGUAUUUGUUAUAUUCUGUUAUGAUUUGAUGGCAUGGUUCUACCUCAUUAUUGUGCAGUGCAUUCAAACCUGCUGUUGCUUUCUUCCAAGCCAGAUUCUUGUGUUUACGGUUGACACCUGCUGGUAGUCCUCCUCAGUCCUAACCUGGACGGUAGUGGAGGCGUGGAUGUUGCAGACGCUGAUGGCUCCGAGGCGCUCGAGCAAAUGGCCCCUUCAUCUCCCAUCAAGUGAUCCAAGGAUGGCAGGUAUAUCAGCUCCAUUGCAUGGUGGGUUAUCUCAAAAUGAUCCUUUAGAAGAUUGUGUGGUGACCAACCUUUGCUUUUUUAGAUGAUUGACGAGAUUGUACAUUGGUCUCCAACUGUUGGUUGGCUUGCUGUUUGGGGAUGAUGACGGAAAACGGCCCUAGCGGUUCGUUGCCUUGUCCUCUUCUCUCUCCCACCAUCCCAACACCAUUCCCUCUCCCACACAUUCUUCCUGAUCUAUUUUUUGCACCGCGUGAGAAGGAGGGGCGGCUUCAGUGGAAGGACUAGGCGGCGUCUAGCGCGUAAGGGAGCAGGCUGGAAGGGCCAAUUUUUUUGGGGGUCUGAUUGUUGUUGUUCUGGGUUGACUACCACAUUAACUGAGUUGUGUCCUCCUGCAAAGUAUGAAACACCAUCAUGUCUCCCUCCCUGUCAAGCACCGCCAAGGCAGCAAAGUGCUAUUCAUAUCUACAUAUUUAUUUUUCUGCAACAGAAAGAAUAAUGGUUUAUAUAGGAAAAGAAGGGUGUGGUUGUUGUAUGGUUACAAGUCAAAGGAAAGCACAUCAAUUGUUGUAGUUCAUAGGAUAGAGCUUUAUUGGUUGUAGAGUUUGGGGUUUCGAAAUGUUUUGCUGCCUCUGAUAAUUGGCAGUUGUUCAUUUUGUAGAUUGAUUUGGCUUUUCUCAUAUUCCAGGUAGGCUAGCGUCCUUUGUAUCACUGCUUUACCUCUAGCCUCAAUUGAAUGUAUUGUGUUAGCAUUUUGAAAUAACAACAUAUUGUCUUAGGGUUCUCAAAUGUUUAAUCUGUU